Acanthosepion pharaonis is the source of this 94-nucleotide non-coding RNA. Lineage: Eukaryota; Metazoa; Mollusca; Cephalopoda; Sepiida; Sepiidae. The record is from the annotation of a GenBank genome assembly.
GCUGAAACACCGAUUCUCGUUCGAUCACCGAAGUUAAACAACAUUGAGCUUGGUCAGUAUCUAGAUGGGUGACAGCUUAGGAAUACCAGGUGCU